RNAcentral lists this ribosomal RNA (253 nucleotides) under uncultured prokaryote. RNAcentral describes it as "partial 16S ribosomal RNA". It matches the Rfam family "Bacterial small subunit ribosomal RNA", at positions 524 to 776 of the family's 1533-position model. The record is from RNAcentral.
UACAGAGGUCCCAAGCGUUGUUCGGAUUCACUGGGCGUAAAGGGUGCGUAGGUGGCAGGGUAAGUUUGAUGUGAAAUCUCCGAGCUUAACUCGGAAACUGCAUUAAAUACUAUCCGGCUAGAGGGUUGGAGGGGGGACUGGAAUACUUGGUGUAGCAGUGAAAUGCGUAGAUAUCAAGUGGAACACCAGUGGCGAAGGCGAGUCCCUGGACAACUCCUGACACUGAGGCACGAAAGCGUGGGGAUCAAACAGG